Molecule: long non-coding RNA, 838 nt
Filed under: Equus caballus (horse)
Lineage: Eukaryota; Metazoa; Chordata; Mammalia; Perissodactyla; Equidae
Description: lncRNA (ENSECAG00000053632.1)
Source: RNAcentral
UGGGGCUCUAUGGGUGAGAGUGGGCUGGAACUCUGUAUCAGUUCCCUCGAUGUUAGGCACCACCCCUGUCUGGUGUGAAGCUGGGUCCAAGCUGCAUCUCUUGAAGGCAUACUGGUGAAAUUUGAGGGCCUGGAAACCUCAAUCCCUUUAGCUUCUUGGCUCAGAUUGUUCGUGGAGGUGCUUUCAUCCCCAGGGGAAGGGGGCAAGAUGGAUCCCCACAUCGUCUGUCUGGACCUCAAGGAAUCCAACCCUUUUUGACAGCUCACAAGGGAGGCACUGACUACUCUCAGUCUACACAUGAGGAAACGGAGGCACAGAAAGGUCAAGAGCCUUGCCCGAGAUCACACAGCAAGCAGGUGAAGGAUGAAAUGAUCAGGCCAAGGUCCAGAGAGGUCAUGAUCUUCCUAAGGUCACACCGCUGGUAAGUGCCAGACCCCCAACUCCAAGUUUCCUUGAGAGGCCAGUGUUCCUUUCAACCCACCACGAAAGCUUCUCUGAAUGAGGUAAACCAAGAUAGAGAGCAGAUACUCAUGUUUUCGACAAGUAUUUGUUGAACACCUAAUAGGUAUAAGGCAGUGGGCCUGUGCUCAGGAGAGAGAGGACUGAGUGUUGACCUCUCAAAGCGCACAGUCUAGCAGGGGCCAUAUGGCAUCUAGCCAUAAGUGAAACCCUGAACAGUUGGUGACAAGGGGCACCAGGGAGGUACAAGCAAAGGGAGGGCCAGGGAGUGCUUCCAAGGGGAGGUGGCAUUUGACACAGGCCUAGGGGAGUGGGUAGAAUGUGUUCAGUGCUAAAGAUGGGAGGGAAGAAUGUUCUAGAUGAGGGGGACAAGAUGGGC